AUUGAACGCUGGCGGCAGGCCUAACACAUGCAAGUCGAGCGAGCGGCGGACGGGUGAGUAAUGUAUGGGGACUGCCCGAUAGAGGGGGAUAACUACUGGAAACGGUGGCUAAUACCGCAUACUAUCGGAUAACCCAUAUGGGAUUGUCUAGUAGGUGGGGUAAAGGCUCACCUAGGCGACGAUCUCUCGCUGGUCUGAGAGGAUGAUCAGCCACACUGGGACUGCGCCACGGCCAAGACUCGUACGGAGGCAGCGUUGGUGAAUAUUGCACAAUGGGCGAAAGCCGGAUGCAGCCAUGCCGCGUGUAUGAAGAAGGCCUUAGGGUUGGAAAGGACUUUCAGCGGGGAGGCGGUAAGAGAAGAAGAAGCACCGGCUAACUCCGUGCCAGCAGCCGCGGUAAUUG
Molecule: ribosomal RNA, 403 nt
Filed under: uncultured bacterium
Lineage: Bacteria
Description: partial 16S ribosomal RNA
Rfam family: Bacterial small subunit ribosomal RNA
Source: RNAcentral